Molecule: long non-coding RNA, 380 nt
Organism: Polypterus senegalus (gray bichir)
Lineage: Eukaryota; Metazoa; Chordata; Cladistia; Polypteriformes; Polypteridae
Exons: 2
Source: RefSeq, a predicted model, not a curated record
AUCAAAUUGUUUUCAAAUGUAAUUUAAAGACAAUCACUACUACCCCUGAGGAAAUGUAAGAUUUUCAGAUUUCGAUGGAUGCAAUGGUAACAGAAUACAAAAGUAAAUAAAUCAGUAAAUUAGGCUCUUUAAGUGUUAAUGACCUCCAUAAAUGCAGCAAAAUUGAAGGCCAGGCCGAAGAGGAGGUAUCUGACAAACAGCAGCUUAAUGUCUUUAAAGCAUUCAACUCUCUGCCCUGCUAUUUUGUCAGCUGACAAUGUUAACUGAUGCAGCACCCUGCAGAUUACCAGCGAGAAAGUAGAAAAAUAUAAAAUCGAUUGAACUUUCAUCACUCUUCUCUGGAGCUGGAAAUCACCCAGAAGGCCACACUGGAGGCCAAG